UGAGGAACAUGACCUUCGGCGGGGGAUAGCCGGCCCAACGGCCGGGUAAUACCGCGUACGACCUUCGGANGGCCNGCCGNGUGAGA
RNAcentral lists this ribosomal RNA (86 nucleotides) under uncultured bacterium. RNAcentral describes it as "partial 16S ribosomal RNA". The record is from RNAcentral.